AACGCGUGAGCAAUCUGCCUUUAAGAGGGGGAUAACAGUCGGAAACGGCUGCUAAUACCGCAUAAAGCAUUGAAACCGCAUGAUUUUGAUGCCAAAGGAGCAAUCCGCUUUUAGAUGAGCUCGCGUCUGAUUAGCUGGUUGGCGGGGUAACGGCCCACCAAGGCGACGAUCAGUAGCCGGACUGAGAGGUUGAACGGCCACAUUGGGACUGAGACACGGCCCAG
Molecule: ribosomal RNA, 224 nt
Filed under: uncultured Bacillota bacterium
Lineage: Bacteria; Bacillati; Bacillota
Description: uncultured Firmicutes bacterium partial 16S ribosomal RNA
Rfam family: Bacterial small subunit ribosomal RNA
Source: RNAcentral